GGGUUUCCCGAGCGCUCAUCUCCGCUCGCGAGCUCGCGACGCUUCUUCCUCCGCUCGCGACGCCACCGCCGCCGCCACAGCAUCCGGCCGCCCUCGCCUCGGCAUCCGUGCGUCACCGCGACAUCCCUCCACCUCGCUAGCCUCUCUUGUGCUUCCGACGUCGACGCAGGGGUCAGCUCGGGCGCUCCUCCACCGCCGCCGUCUCGGUCAUCGUCCGCCGUCUCGGUCCUCAUCCGCCGUCUUGUUCCUCGUUCGUCGUCGCGAUCUCCACCUCUACCGCCAUCGCCAUCCGUCUCGAAGUUCUAUCAGUGGAGGCAAUGUUGGUGGAGGCAAUAUUUGAAUUGAGAAGAAAAAGGCACCUGCAGUCAUUGUAUGCAGAGGUUUUGGUGGAACAAAUGCAUAUUUGAGACAAGUGAAGUGUGGUCAAAUUUUAUAAUGAUAGCUGAUAUUUCUGGCUUCCAUGUAGUUGUGCAAAGACUUGAUUUCAGUUUGAAACGCCUAUAUAUUUUUAUGUAAACAUACUUAUUCUUGAGAUUUUUCUAUCACUAUGAGAUGCUAGCAUUGAUAUGUAA
This is a long non-coding RNA of Sorghum bicolor (sorghum), 572 nucleotides long. RefSeq lists it as uncharacterized. The transcript is spliced from 3 exons. Lineage: Eukaryota; Viridiplantae; Streptophyta; Magnoliopsida; Poales; Poaceae. The record is from RefSeq and is a predicted model, not a curated record.